AUUGAACGCUGGCGGCAUGCCUUACACAUGCAAGUCGAACGGCAGCACGGACUUCGGUCUGGUGGCGAGUGGCGAACGGGUGAGUAAUACAUCGGAACGUGCCCAGUAAUGGGGGAUAACGCAGCGAAAGUUGUGCUAAUACCGCAUACGCCCUGAGGGGGAAAGUGGGGGAUCGAAAGACCUCAUGCUAUUGGAGCGGCCGAUGGCUGAUUAGCUAGUUGGUGAGGUAAAGGCUAACCAAGGCGACGAUCAGUAGCUGGUCUGAGAGGACGACCAGCCACACUGGGACUGAGACACGGCCCAGACUCCUACGGGAGGCAGCAGUGGGGAAUUUUGGACAAUGGGCGAAAGCCUGAUCCAGCAAUGCCGCGUGUGCGAAGAAGGCCUUCGGGUUGUAAAGCACUUUUGUCAGGGAAGAAAACUGCUGGGCUAAUACCUUGGCAGGAUGACGGUACCUGAAGAAUAAGCACCGGCUAACUACGUGCCAGCCGCCGCAGUAG
This 500-nucleotide ribosomal RNA is filed under the name uncultured bacterium. Its description in RNAcentral is "partial 16S ribosomal RNA". It matches the Rfam family "Bacterial small subunit ribosomal RNA", at positions 29 to 523 of the family's 1533-position model. The record is from RNAcentral.